UCACAUUUGCACUUCCCAAAACUCAACAACUUUUUCUGCAUUGGAUCCUUCCAGGAGACAGGAAGAAAGGAAAACUAUUCCUUAAGAUAUUCAACAGUAAAGAGCUGACUCUACAUGAAAGCAUCCCUUUUCUUCUUCCUAUCCAGGAGGAACAGAUUAAGUAUGUUUGAAGGAAGAAGACAAAGAUAUUCUUCUUGAUAACCAAAACACUUCAGAUUAUGGUCCUGUAAACCAGCUAGUAUCCAGAAAGUACACUGAAGAAAGCAAAAAGGACUGACUUUGAGUUGAACCCGCACUGUAUCCCUCAAUGGAGAUCUAUGAAGGGAUAUUUGUAAUACCUGUGGACAUCUUGCAUUACACCAGUGGGAGUUUUUGUCAUCAGUAGAUGAACAGCUGAAACAUGGACAGAAUAAAACAUGGCAGAUAUAUGCAAAAGGCAGAUUGAAUCUGAUGUAUUUAGCAGUUUAUUAUUUACUAUAGCCCUUCUAGGUCUCUCUCUGGGGUAUGUGAAAUGACAUUAUUUCCUGCAACAGUAAAAUAAAAAUGGAAAAAAAAAAAACAAAAAAGAAGAAGCACACGUAAUAAACUACCACUUGAAUAAAAGAAGCUUAAAUCAUGAAUGUUAUUUCCUGGUUCUUAAAUGCAGUAUAUUUUCAUAGAAGCCUUCAACAAUUUCUAUUGUUGUCAAUCCCCAUGUGAAAAAAAGUAACAGGACUCUUAUUCUUAUUUGUUGUUACUAUUUUAGAGCACUCACAAGAACACUUGGCAUUCUAUAGGAAUACAGAAGGAAAAAGAGAGCUCUCGGCCUUGACAAGUAUACAGACUCCGCAGCAAG
Long non-coding RNA from Columba livia (rock pigeon), 835 nucleotides. RefSeq lists it as uncharacterized. The transcript is spliced from 3 exons. NCBI's taxonomy places the organism in Eukaryota, Metazoa, Chordata, Aves, Columbiformes, Columbidae. The record is from RefSeq and is a predicted model, not a curated record.